UACAGAGGGGGCAAGCGUUGUUCGGAAUUACUGGGCGUAAAGGGCGCGUAGGCGGCCGCCUAAGUCAGACGUGAAAUCCCUCGGCUCAACCGGGGAACUGCGUCUGAUACUGGGUGGCUUGAAUCCGGGAGAGGGAUGCGGAAUUCCAGGUGUAGCGGUGAAAUGCGUAGAUAUCUGGAGGAACACCGGUGGCGAAGGCGACAUCCUGGACCGGUAUUGACGCUGAGGCGCGAAAGCCAGGGGAGCAAACGGG
Molecule: ribosomal RNA, 253 nt
Filed under: uncultured bacterium
Lineage: Bacteria
Description: partial 16S ribosomal RNA
Rfam family: Bacterial small subunit ribosomal RNA
Source: RNAcentral